Long non-coding RNA from Tympanuchus pallidicinctus (lesser prairie-chicken), 7379 nucleotides. RefSeq lists it as uncharacterized. The record is from RefSeq and is a predicted model, not a curated record. The transcript has 2 exons. Lineage: Eukaryota; Metazoa; Chordata; Aves; Galliformes; Phasianidae.
CCUCUUCAACAGAACUCUGGUGCAGGCUCUGCAUGGGUCCACUCUUCUUAGGGGAACUGUUUUUCACCCACCUCAAGGACUCUGGACCAAGAAGAGACCGUAGUGAAGAUGAAAUAGGAGAAUGGAUUAUGUAUGUAUAGAAGAAUCAAAAAAGGAGGUAAGGUACAUGUGUCUCUGUGUGCAUGCUUCUGUAAAACUUGCUGUGCUUUUCUGCGGGGUCUUAUUUUAUGCUUCUCAAAGUAACAAUGAUUAUUAUCACUGAUUACAAUGAACACUAAACAAUGUACAGUUUGAAGCAGAAGUUCUUUACAACUUGACUGAAGCAAACACAACAUUCCCUGCAAUGUUGUGAUAUUCUCUGAUUUAUAGAUGUAGAGAGUUCUUGUUUUCUGAAAUAUUGGGCUGUUCUCUUUACUAACACACUGCUGUUCUCUGUACAAAGGUUGAUAAUCUGUGUACUACAGAAGUAAAAUAACAUUAUGGUUGAACUCAGUGCUUAUAGGGUUAUGCAGCCAAUGAAAAAAGUUGUGAAACCUUAGUGCUGUCACCCACAACUUUCUUUCCAGUUUUCAAGGGCUGAACUUGAGUCUUUGUCUUGUGCCAUGACAAUUCUAUAUAUCUAGUCAUUGAACAGUCUGUCUGUUUUUGUGAGUCACUCAGUUCAUUUCUGGACAAUUGAGAAAAAGAAAAUCAAUAACAUGAAAUUAGAGGAUAAUAGCAUGGCCAUCUGAAGGAUUAGUCAAGCUUCCCAUACAAGCAUAUCAAGAAUCUCUGUUCAUUGUGACAUCUACCUAUGAAAUAAGUGUAUGAACAGAAAAGCUGAAUUUUAGUUCCCGAUGCAGAGGAUAUGAUUUCUUCAGUAGUUCUUCUGGAAUCUGGGAAGAAGGAGCAUAGGUACGAGGCUACAAUAUUUAGCUUCUCCCUUCCAGAGGAAGCCCUAGAGAAAUGAAAAAAUGCAUCCUUCAUAUGUUGGUGAGUUUACUUGCAUAAAACAGGUCAGCAUAUUCCUAUCUUGCUUAAGACACCUGAAGAAUAUCUAGUACUAUUACUUAACAUCCACUGGUGUUAGACAAGGUCUAAAUAUUUUGUAUGUGGUACCGAAAUAAUGCAACAAUAUCUGUGCUGAUUCCUGAAGAUGGUACUUCCAAAGUAUUAUCUAUCCUCUUUUAGGUCUUUCUGAAGAUGCAAUAAAUUAUAUCCAUUACUAUUUCUCUCAACUAUACUCUCAGACUGUAAAGAAUCUGGACAAGAAUCUCUCAUGUAGACCUCUAGUUACUGAGGCAUAACAUUGUCUACAUUACAGGCUCUAUCUAGAAAGGCCAUUUUUUGUGACAUCCCCUGAAUGUGAAUUCCUUAGAAUUUCCAAUGAAACUUUCUUAGAAAUGAAAUGAAUAAGUAGGAGCUAGAGCCAUAGUGAUGUAACAGGGUCUUUAUGGUGGGACUCAGCGAGUUUCUUCUGUAGAUCUUUUCCUGUACAUGCUCUCCUACAUUAUUUAUAUGCAUUUGUUGGAAAGCACAGAUUGAAUACACCAACCAGAACCUCUUCACUCACCUUGUUGAAAAGUCUUUUUUCUCUAAUGCCUGUCACAGCUCUUUGGCUAUAUCUGUGCAAUUUUUUUUAAAAAGGAAAAUAAUACAGUCGGUGUCCAGCUGAAUAGUUACAAGAUUUUUUGUCAUAAGAUAUGUUGAAAGCUCUUAAGAUGUUUAAGGGAAAUAAUCAGAAUUCAGAGUGUAUAUUAAAUUAUCAACUAUCUAAUAAGUGUGCUACUUCCCAGCUGGGAUCCUCCUGGUACGUUCAUUCAUCUUCAACCAGUGUAAUUAAAGACGAAAGGUGCAACACUGAUGAUUCUUCUCUAGAGAUCUCAUCAGUUUAAUUCUAGAACUAUCAGUGGAAAAGGAAUAUCACAUAAAUUGUUCCGACUUAAUUGGACACCUGCUGGAGGUCAAACAAAACACCAAGGUCUACUGAAAUAGGGACUGCCUUCUGUAAUUCAGUAAUUUGGUAGGAGAUGAUUUGGCAAGGCAGUGCAAUUUUUGUUUCAUGCCUUUUAAAACUAAAUUAGAUCUGGUUAACAAAAACCAAACCAAAACAACAACAACAACAACAGCAACAAAAGAAAGAAGUGGAAAACAUCAAGAGCAAGCAGGAAUGUACUUAAAAUCUCCCCGUGAGAAGUGAUAGCUUGCUGCAUUUAGCAAGUGAAUCAAAACCUACAAUGCUGGGGUUGCAUUAAGAAGCUUCCUACUGGUGCAAAAAGGGUGUGCAGAAUUACUCCUGAUUUAGAAAAACUUUCUUAAAAUUUCCUACUCAGAAAGUAUGUCAUAGGUAAUGAGUAAAUGAAGAUUUUUCUUCUCAAUUGUAAUUUUAAAGCAUAUCAGUGCAUUAUGAUGCAGUAGAAAUACAACUCUCUUUAAAAAUAAUUUUGUCUGGUGCUGUCAAAAAUAAUUCUUCUUGAUGAUGUCACCAGACCCCCUUGUUCUGUUUAUAGUAGUUAUUUAAAUCACUGUUUCCAUAAAUGUAUAUGAGUGCCAUGAGGGUGUCUAUAUUUGUUACUGAAGGUGUCUCAAGAAUCUUGAAGCAAUCUCCCAAUCUAAUUAAGAGUGCUACAAUUUCAGCACAAAGAGCUGUGUUGCCAGUAUUAAAGGUUCAAAAAUUGUGAGUCAGGGCCUCAUAACUCGAAACUGAACCCAAAUGUAAAUAUUUUGAAGUGUAUUUCUUAUGUUUUGGACUUGCUUUUAAUUAUUCAGCUCUACCCCUUGUGCAUUUGUGUGUGUGUGUACGUGCAUACAUGUAUGCUGCUGUAAUUCUAGUAUUGUGUUUUGUACUGCUCUCCAAGACCUGCAAAAGAAAGAAAUGAGAAAAAGGAACAGAGGAAACAUUUUCACAUGAGAAGAAGAGGUGAGGCAGUAUCUUGAUUUUCCAGGCUCUUUUUGCCUCUUCCUCCUUUUGAUGCUCAGGUGAGAAGUUAACGUUCCUAACUGUUGUUCAGCCAGAAACAGAAAAGUAUGUGGUGAAUGGAACAAGCCCUGGACUAGGACAUCAGUCUCUGUGUUUGGAGAUCAAGCCAGCACCUUCCUUGUACUGUUUAUAGGACAAAGAUAAGAUUUGGUGAUAAUGGUUUGAGCCCAUGUGCUGCAGGACACAGUAUUUAUGAUGCAUUACUUUUGUUCUACGACUGCAGCAUUCAAGUAAUGGAUGUAAAAAUGUUGCUCAGCUUUCACAUUGGUGUUGACAAUUUGUAUCUGAUUCUUCAAGACAAACCAGAAUAAAAGAUUCUCUGAUUGGAUAAAUGGUUGCAAGAGAUAAGUUCUGCUUUUACAGUUUACUAUAGCUGAUGUUAUCCCCAGAAUUUCAAUUAGUGAAUUACCAUUGCCAACUGUCAUAUCUUUUGAGGCAUUAUGAAAGCUUUGCAUCAGGAAUGGCUGCAUUACAGCUUCAUACAGCACAGGAGCUGCUGCUUGUGGAUAGAAACACUUGAUUUAAAAAAAAAAAAAAAAAAAAAGAAGCUUUACAAGUAUUAUUUUAUGUCCCUAUAAAAAUAUUUUCAUACUUCAUUCUUUUCUUCAGACUCUUAAUCAUGUUGCUUCUCUGUGCAUGCUCUUCUAAAUCCAACCCUCUUUUGAUAAUCUCUCCUUCAAUAAUCCAUUCUUCUCUUAGCUGACUUGAAGACCCGAGCCACUUUGCUCCUUUGUGAUGCUAGUGACUUUCCCAGAGAUAUCAUCUGUAAGUAAACUAAUGUGAGAAGCUGAGUUUAAUGAAGCUUUGAGUAUGUCUGUUAUUUGAUUUUAUCACUUCAGUUUUGACUCCUUUUCUCACUAAUUAAUGUGUGCUGAUAGUAUACUGUCCAUACUUGUUAACUUGGCCAACCACCAUGACAACAUAUUCCCAUUAUCACCAACUGUUUGUACCUUGUCUACAUUGCAUUUUGGCAGUGAAGUAGAUUCCUAUAAUUUUUAGCACUAUAUUUUAAAGCUGGAGAAUAUGGAUAUGCAAACAGCAUGGUCUUUUGCAAAGCCCUUUGGAAUAAUGCAAAAACAACAGGAUGGGGGUUCUUUUAAUGUUAUCUAAAACACAGAUAAGCCAUAUUUGCUUGGUAUUUAUGCUUAAUCUGUUGUCAACAGACAGAAAAACAGUAAUCAAAAUUACUUUUAGGACUCAUUUUGUCCAAACAGAGGAAUAUAAGAUAACUAGGAGAAAUUAUCCUCUGCAGGUGACCACAGUACAGCUUCUCUCGAUGCAAGGAAAAGUCUGUGGUCCAUGCACUACCAUUCUGAUUCCAGCUCAUAGCUGUGACACAACAUCUUUUUACUUGUAAUGAUACAGUCAAGGAAACUGUCACCUUCAGCCUUGUAUUGACUCAAUAGUUCCUGAAAAAUGUGCAUACAUUGUUCUUUCUGCUCCUGUAUGAGCAUUCAUGAGACUCACCUGGCAAAAAAAUUGCAAUAUUCCUAUGUUGCCACUACUGUUUCCAAUGCAUUCAAACUGACAUUCAGCUCCUUACAAAGUUCCUUGGUUGUAAUCCGCUGAUUUGCACAGAUGAGUUGAUCAAGACAUUCUUCAUUUCAUGGUGUGACAGUUGUGUAUCGCCAUUCAGAAUAUGAGUUGUCUUUCACGCUGCUGUCACUACCCCUGAAAUGCACCACCCGCUGCCUCACUGUGCUCACAUCCACUGUUUGAUCUCCAUAAAUGUUCAAGAAGCAUCAGUGAAUGUCAAGGGGUGCAAUUUUUUCUACAAGGAGGAAUUCAGUACCACACCUUUGCUUCAUCCACGCUUGCAUGUCAGAUGCCAUUUUUUUCACACUGCCCCUCUGCUGGUGUCUGUCACAUGGUAACAAAAUGCAACAAUAUUGAUAGGAAAAUUCAGCCUUUGCUGCCAUGUCGCCAGCAUCUGCCUCUGAGGUAGUGGGACAAUAUAUUAAAAGAGGAAGCAUUACUUUUGGAGUAGCCCUCAUAUUUUUGUCCUUGUUCACAGUGCAACUGAUGAGUAUAAGCAGUUAUGUUCUUAUUGUGUGAGUCAAAAAGCAGCCUCCUGCAGGGAUAAUACACAAUUCCCUCAUGUUCAGUCAGCCAUAAUGCCUCAAGAGGUGAACCAUAUUCUGCUACAAGUAAUUUUGGUCUUUUUCCUUAAUAAACACAGUCAGAGCUCAAGACCUAUAUUUUAACAUUAGUGGAACAGCUGUAUUGCUAACCCUUAAUAGCGCUUGACCUGUGAUUAAACCUUUUCUGUUAAAAUUCCUCAGUUCCAGUAUUUUUCCCUUGUGUUAACACUUUAAGAAGGUGAAUUUGUCCUUGAGAGAACAAAGUUCUUCCCUCCAGACCUCAUACAUUUUUCUGGAAAUCUCCUACCUCACAGUUAGGUAGCUGUGGGUCUCAAUGUACAACGUAAGUUCAGUUCCACCAAGGUAUUGUACUGGUUAAUACAGUGAAAUGUAUACAAGCCCCAUUUAUUAUCCAUGACAACAAUGUAGAUGUUCUGAAUGCUAAGUGAUUUAUUUAAUGAAGAAUAUAUUAAUUUUUCUCAUCUUGUCCAGAAACACUUAGUGGCCAGUUCUGGCACUGAGAUGUAUAUGAUAGCAAGUAAAUAUGGCAUUUUAGUCAGCAAUUAAACAAAAAAUUGCUAUAAUUUUAAAUUCAGCUAUUAAGUGUACUGCUCCUAUCUAAAGUAGUACUUGGCUAAGAGCUGUAACUAAUCAAUUUUUAAAGGAGUUUGGUUGGUGGUCUCAGGGGAAAUGAGGUAGUUUGUAUGAAAACAUAUUAAUUAUGGAGUUUCUUCUGUAAUGAUGCAUGACAUUUAGAGUAUUGAUGUAGCAACUUCUCCAACUUAAAUCAUCUAACAAGCAUUUCUAGUUUUAUCUCAUCUAUCUUGAUUGUUGGUUAUAUUUAUUACAGAAUGAAAAUAAGAUUUUAGAUUUUUAAUUAUUAGCUAUAACAGAUUCCAGAGUAGCUCAAUGAAUAAAAUUCUUUGUAAAAAGCAUAUAGCUACAGCAGAUUUUUGCUGAAUGGGACAUUUGUCUUUCUCCAAGAUCAAUAUUACUUUCCUCUUCAAUGUGUCAUAUUUUGCUCUGAAGUGAACAGAAAACUUCUUCAUGGAAAAGAUUUUACAAUUCUGACAUUAUUUUUAAUUUGUUUUAGAAUGUCCCUGUUAGAAUCUUUGAAGUAAAUCAAUAUUUUAGCAUUGUUUAUUAAUAAAAAAACCCACAGUUUUUAAUGAAGAAGUAAAUGCUGUACCUUUCUCACGGAUUGGAGCGACAUAUCUGACUAUCUGGUGCAGAAGUUCCUGCAUUUUGCCUGCGGAAAGAAGGGAAAAGCUAGAGCUGCUUCCAGAUUAUGUGGGCAAGGUUGGUCCUGAAGGUUCCUGUGCUGAAGAAAGCUGAACACACGCCGUCGUGGUACGACACUGCAAAGACUGAAAAGCAAAUGGAAGGACGGACUGUCAGGAUUCAACCCAGGCAUGGUGCGCAUGGUUAGUGUAAGACACAGCCUGCUGGUCUUCAUAUGGCAGAAAGCAGCAAGGCAAAGAACUGAGGUGGAGCUGCCUGAACCUGUCUCCUCUACCGAGCGCAAAAGGGCAUGAGCAUGUACAAGCUUCGGUUUACUGCAACAUAGCCUCAAACACGUCACCCUCGAAACAGAGAUCAUUCAAAGCUGUUACAGAAGAACGAAAGUGAAAAGCUUCCAAAAUAUUUUUUCCUUUUAAUCAUUGCUCCUUGAAGGACAGGUCCUUUCCUCCAGCUCUGUUCUCACUCGUGCCUUCCCUUGUCACAGAAAGCUCUGUAUGAAAAGCCUGGCCUUUGGUCUGCCCCCUUUGUGUGCCUGCCUUCUACUCCUUGGGUUCUCUGUCGCCGAAUCCCUGAAGUCUAGGCUAUUCCAGCUGAAUGUUCUAGGGACAGUCUCCUAUUCCUGCCAGAGAGCUUUGUUCAACCCAGCAAGCACCACCUCACACAAAUCCCACUGACAACUUUCCCUUCUGGCUUCUUAAUAAACAGAGCAUUAAACACAGCAGACAGUAAGCUGUGGAUAAACAGAUAAAACAGGGACCAGCUUCUCUGUUUUGUGUAUCAGAUGUUGCAGUAAGGAUUAAAGGAUGUGUUCUGGUAAUCCUGUUUCUUCAAGCAACUCACUAAAGUAAGAUUUCCUCUUUGUGAGGGUAACGCAUUUCAAAGAGGAUGUUAAUUUACAAAUAUCUCUGUUUCUCCUGUAUUUUUGUAACGGGUGAAAUCUAUACAUAGGUAAGACUGUUUCAGGCAGCCAUUUCAAAUAUGUUUACUGAUCUUUGAAGCUAAGGAUCUUUUGUGAUGGUAUCUUUCAGAUUCUUCACAGACAUUGUACAACAUCACUUUCAGUUAAAAUAAAGUUAUUGUUAGUGCCUGUAUCUGAC